Salvia splendens (bonfire salvia) is the source of this 1132-nucleotide RNA transcript. RefSeq lists it as uncharacterized. The record is from RefSeq and is a predicted model, not a curated record. Lineage: Eukaryota; Viridiplantae; Streptophyta; Magnoliopsida; Lamiales; Lamiaceae. The transcript has 2 exons.
AUCUACUAAAAGAAGCCUUUAUGUAAAGAAAUACUGACCAAAUAUGGACCGUGAGAUCUGGGAAUGAAUGGCCACGAUCUGAUGUUGUGAACGAUUUCUUUGGGUCAUAAUAGGAGUGUUCUGUGUCAUGUAAGGGUAAUUUAGGUAUAGAAAAUAUAAACAACUGCCUUCUAUUUUUUAAGAGCGGAUUAAUUGGGAUCAUUACUCCACACGUUAUUAAUCUGAUUCUUCGGUUCCUGCGCCAUUCAAUUCGUCUCUCUCACCAAAAUCUGAACUCAAAAAACCCAAACCCUAGAAUCUGCUCUAAAAACCACCCAAAUCUUCUUGGCAUCUGAAUUGCCCAAACCAUACAAAGCUCUAAAAAUUAGACGUCCCCUCCAAUAUUUCAUCGUCGCUUGCACCAAAAAUCGCCUCUGCCAGAUAAACCGUUUCCUCGACCAAAAACCUAGUCCGAAUCCAAAACUCGGCGAAGAAGGGGAAGAAAAUAUCUAAUUCAACCAUGGUCAACACUAGAGCAUCUGGAUCCACUACUCAUGACGGAAAAGGUUAGUAAGAUGUUGUAACCCAUGAAUUGAAGUUGACAAAAUCAGGCCGAUUAAUAACUUCAGUUUGCUGUUCACGUAGUUUAUCAGAGAACGUCCUCGAAGAAAAAGCUACCAAGGAUCCCAAAAGCUCCGACAAGAAAUACGAUACCAAAUUCUGGUAUUUUGAUGCAUGUAGUUUUGAUUCUAUUUUGGAAUUUGGUAUUUAAUUGUGGUUUUUUGUUUCAUAACCAAAAGUCCAAAAUUCAACAGAACCCUAUACUGAAGCCAUUCCUGAUAUCCAUGACAUAAAUCAAGGUUAAAGUUAUAUAUUUUUAACCUUAUUGUAGCUCUGCUCUUUAAUAACUGAUGAAUAAGUAAGCCAUAUAUGUAAAAAGAGUUAUGGAAUAAAUGAAUAUUUAUACGCUUUGUUUGUUGUAAUGCUAUACGAUAAUUUAUUUAUGUUUCAGUUAUGGAAACACAUAGCAAAGUCAUUCCACAAAUUGAAAUAGAGAAAGAGUCUGCAGGUGAUUUACCCAUUUCUGGAAAAGGGAUGUCAAUCGGGCCGGCCCAUCGGGUUUCGGGCCAACCCGCUCGGGUUGCGGGCCAAU